UGCCAGCAGCCGCGGUAAUACGGAGGGCGCAAGCGUUACUCGGAAUCACUGGGCGUAAAGAGCGUGUAGGCGGAUAAAUAAGUUUGAGGUGAAAUCCCUGGGCUCAACCCAGGCGCUGCUUUUGAAACUCCAGGUCUAGAGUGAGAUAGAGGAUAGCGGAAUUCUUAGUGUAGGGGUAAAAUCCGUAGAUAUUAAGAGGAACACCAAAAGCGAAGGCAGCUAUCUGGGUCUUUUACUGACUCUGAGAUGUGAAAGCGUGGGGAGCAAACAGGAUUAGAUA
Molecule: ribosomal RNA, 280 nt
Filed under: uncultured bacterium
Lineage: Bacteria
Description: partial 16S ribosomal RNA
Rfam family: Bacterial small subunit ribosomal RNA
Source: RNAcentral